AGACUUGGACCUCUCUCAAAAGCCCACUAAGCUACCAAUAUUAGGCUAUAAAUACUAGAGUUUCAGUGAAACAAAGAUGGAUUCUAUUCCUAUUACCCUGAGGAAAAAGAUAGUGAGAGAAGAGCUAACAGAGUUCAGAGCAGCCUCCAAACCCUGAAGGGAACUCAACUGCACAGAAUCACCUCUGCCUCACAUAAACCCUAAAGAUUGUUUUGUAAACCUCACGGGUGCAACUCAAUUUCAAUCAAGCUCUCCAAUUAGGUUUGCCCUAUAUCCAU
RNAcentral lists this long non-coding RNA (278 nucleotides) under Lathyrus oleraceus (garden pea). Its description in RNAcentral is "Pisum sativum (pea) long non-coding RNA (PSAT_LNC007744)". The record is from RNAcentral. Lineage: Eukaryota; Viridiplantae; Streptophyta; Magnoliopsida; Fabales; Fabaceae.